CCGCCCCGCCCCGCCCCUCACGGGCCUGAGGGCGCCGGGCCCGCCCGGGGGUACCGGAGCGUUCCCCGGUUUUUCCUGCAUCUGGAAUUAGGACUCUGGGUGGUUAAUGGAAGGAAUCAGCAUAGGAAUCUUCUCAGCAGCUGCUGUUCCCAGGAGAGGUGAUGCAUUGGAAAGGUAAAAAUGCUGUCCUGAAGCCUGCAGCUUUCCAUGGACUUGGAUAUUUCAGUGUUGAGCGUCUUCCUGUUAUGACUCUGGCACGGGAAUGAAAAAUACAUUCAUGAGGGACAUGAAAAAUCCAUGGAGUCUCAGAGCAGUAUUUUAGUGACACGACAUUUCCUGGCUGACCUGAGCUGAAGCCACAGACCCUUGAUGGCUCCUGGAGGGAGCAGUGACAGGAAAAGUCUUUUUUUUUUUUCCUGAAGUCUGCUCCAGUGGUUUCCAACUCAGCAGAGUCCUGAAGGUGCCACCACCCCGUGGCUGCUCGAUGGCACGUGUGAAACAGCUCCAAAGGGUCUCAGCUCAGUUCCCAGCCUCUCUCCAAGCACCUUUGUCACUCCAGGAAGAUCCAGGUGGAUCCUUUGGAAUGAAUUAAGUGCUCACACGCUGCUAUGCAGAGGUUUUAUAGCAAAUUAGGUAAUUUUCAUUUGCUGUUUGCAAUUUUUUGCUGAUAAUUUCUUCUUCCUUGUGCUCACCUGCAGCCCUCAGGUGAAACACAAGAUUUUUGGGGCAGCAAACCCAGAGUCCCCCCGCACAGAAAUCAGUGGGAGCGUUGUCAGGUCUCUCCCUGCAGGUGAACCACCAAGUCCUGGUGGGAUUUUUCUGUUGGGAGGAGUUUUUUGUGGCACCGGCGUUUUCUGCCUCGGACGCACGGUGGCGAUGGAAAUCCCCUUUUCCUCCAGAGCUUUGCAGUGCUCGGUAACCACACGUGUGUCCCCGAGCAUGGAAGGAUGAAAUAUUUCUGUUCAAUCCCAAAUAAUCACUGACAUUUCAAGUGGCCGAAGCUCCAGAGAAUCCAGAAAACUUUUUCCUAAGCAUUGAUAUUGUUUAAAUUAAGAUGUUUAUGUUUAAAACAAGAGCAAGUGGAGCCUCUAGGGCUGGUGUUUUGUUUUAAAAAGUGAUCUGACCUUUCUCUCUGCUCCUGGCUGCCAGGGCACGAUUGGUGCCAGGCUGGCAGUGUCACCGACCCCCUCACCCGGGGUGAUCUGUCCUGUGUUUGCACUGGGGCUGUCAGCAGAGCCUGGUCAGGAGAGGUGGAACCAGCGUCACAAAAGAAAAUGGAGUGGCAUGAGUUUGCAGUGCACAUGCUUGGACGUGGUGGAAUGAGAGUAAAUAAAUGUGUCCAGUUUUGGAGCAGGGCAGGAAAAGGAUGUGCAUUUACCACCCCUCCUCCAAAGAACAACGUGGUUAUGAUUCAAAAAUUUCAAAGAAAACUAUGGAAAAGGAUGUCUGAACCCUGUGAAAUAAUUAAAACACGGAUUAUUCCUGCCCAGACUUGAAUCCCACAACCAUCCAGGUUGGAAAAGACCUCCCAGAACGUGGCUUGUCACCCAGCCCAGGGCACUGAGGGUGCCACCUCCAGGGAUGG
Molecule: long non-coding RNA, 1585 nt
Organism: Catharus ustulatus (Swainson's thrush)
Lineage: Eukaryota; Metazoa; Chordata; Aves; Passeriformes; Turdidae
Exons: 3
Source: RefSeq, a predicted model, not a curated record